Molecule: long non-coding RNA, 568 nt
Organism: Achroia grisella
Lineage: Eukaryota; Metazoa; Arthropoda; Insecta; Lepidoptera; Pyralidae
Exons: 3
Source: RefSeq, a predicted model, not a curated record
CGCACUGUUUGACAUUGAACACACGACAACAUUCGAAACCUCAAACCGCCCCCCUCACAGGAAUUGCUUUAGAGUUGUUCACUUAAACUGUAAGAAAGUUAUUUGAUAUAUUUUUCCUAAAGCUUUGACAUUAAAUUUAUAUAGAGUGAUAACUUUAUUUGAAUAGACAUUGAUAAUAAAUAUAAUUAAAUAUUUUUUGAAGAUUUCAAAAAUAAAAAGGUGAGGGUGUAUUUAUUUAAAUGAAAUAUGUGUUGUGUUAAUAUUUCUAAAAUACGUUUAAGUGUAUGAUUUUUUUCUAAAGUGAUCGUGUUUGUGACUGAAAAAAGACACUCGGAGGCUCGGUCACGAGUUCACGGGUCGUUAAUUCGACGAAGGAGAGAAUCCGAAAAAGGUCUUCGUUUGCGUCCGCUCAUUGGAGUGAUAAAAUUUAUGACAAACGGUUAACCCUACGGUUGAUUUGUGUACAAAAUUAUUCGGCGCUCCGGAAACAUGAUUCGGUGGCGGAGUGUGCGCGAGAAGGAAGUGUCGGGAUGAAGUGGAGGCGUGCGGGGCGGCGAGCGUGCACGAG